CCGGCACCUUUACCAAAUCAGGUUCAACACACAACAUAUAGUAACUGAACACAUUCUCACGAUCCUGUUCAUCACCCAGAUGACAGACCAUACACAACUCUAAGCAUAACAUGCAUAGCAGGAUAAGGCACAUCAUCGCUCAAGCAUCUACCAGGUAUGCUAGGUUGCAAGGUUCAACUAUUUACUGUGACAAAGGACAGGUCAUGCAAAGGAAGUGGGUUCAACUAACGUGGUAAAAGCAUUGAAAGCAUUUUGAUCUAAUGCAAUAAGUAAGAGCAGGAGCGAGAACAUGGGAUUUAUCGGGAUGAUCAAAAUGGUUGCUUGCCUUGUUGCUCAGCAGAGGGGUGAUAUCUGUCAGUCGGAUAAUCAGAUGUAUCCGGAGGGGCGGAGCCUACCGGAAUAACAACAAUCAAUCAAUAUCAAACAUAUGCAACAAAAUGAUGCAUGAAAUGCAAUGUAGCAUGGCUUAAGAUGACUAGCAAAACCCUUUGGGAUAAUCUUGAUUUGAAAUCUUAAUUCAAAUACCAUUUGAAUUAUAAUUCAUCAAAUUCUUUUAAUUGAUUUGACCUGAUGCUGUUUCAUAACUUUGUUUUUCAUGCAAGAAAAUAGCACCAUUCGAUUCCUUGAAUUUUUCUGAUCAUUUUACAUAUAUUAUUUGUCAAAUUUGGAGUUAUAUUCAAUUUUCUAUGAAUUUCCAAAGUUUUGGACUUAUUCUGGAAUUGUUUUUAAACAGAAAAGGUUUUAUUGCAUCAGCAUGAAAUCAGCAGGUCAAUCUGGCGGCUGAAAGUCAAACUUGACCAGUGGGACCAACUAGUCAGUGACUCUGGCCAGGUUUUAGUUAAAUUUAAACUUAAUUAUGUAUUUAACAUGGCUGGACCCACAUGUCAGUGACUGUUUAGGUUUUUAAUUAAUUAUUUAUUUUAUUAACCUAAACUUAAUUAGCCAGGGGGCUGGCCCCGCAUGUCAGCUGCAUAGAGAGGCUCAGAUCCACCGACGGCGAGGUGGAACUCGCCGGCGGUGAGCUCCGGCGACCACAGGGACGGCAGAGAGCUUCAGGAAUUCAAUUCCGGCGACCAUUUGCACGGCAGAGAGCACCAAACGAACCAGCACUCAGUCGCAGUUCCAUUUUUGCAAAGAACCAAGGCUAAGAUGGCCGGAGAUGACACCGGCGUUGAGCUCGACGGCUGCCGGAGCUCGGGCUAUGUCGGGAUCGAUGAAACCAAAGGCAAAUCGAGCGGGGCUUAGCUCCUAGAGCACCUACACAACAUGCUGAAGCUUUUGGUGGCCUCAGAACGACUAGACGUUCACUGGAGAGCUACCGGCGACGAGCUCCCGCGACGGAUCUCGUCGGGCUCCGAUGGGAUCGGGUGAAAGAGGAAGGAAUCGAGGGGGAAAACUUGGGGGAAAGAUUCCUCAACUCACGAGGAGUGCAGAGGCAACGAAAGUGAGCUCGCGGAUGGCCUGAGGAGGGAUAACGAUGACGGCGAGCUCCGGUGACCCGAGGAGGAAGAUGACGGCGUCACGGCGUUUCAGAGCUUCUCGACGUCGAGCGACUGGCUUAGGAGCUUCAGGGAGCUUCGAGGAAGCUGUUGCGCGGAUCAGGAGAGAGGAAGAGAGGCUAGAGCGACUGCUAGCUCGAGCUCGAGCUCGCGAUCAUGGCGGCCGAGAGGGGGAGAGAGCAAGGGGCGAAUGGAGAGGGGGAGAGCUCAGGGAUGGAGCGGGGGAUCUUAUCCCUCCCCUCCAAUGCAUCAGGGCGAGGCAGCGAGCACAGAGGUGCGUGGGCGCACCGGGAGGAGCGGCGGCCACCUCCAGCGCCGACUGGCAGGAGGUAGACGACACGGGAAGGUGGGCUGGGCCAAGGUGAGCACUAGAUAGUGUUUUUGCAUUUUUUUUUCUUGCUUUAGUUUCUGUUUAUUCUUUCUUACAUUUGUCUUUAUUUAUUUUUAGCUCUAAAACCAAUUCAAAAAUAGUUUGAAAUAUACUGGGGUGUUAGUUGGAAUAUUCCCAACUACACAUAAAGUUUUCAGCAUUUUUGAAAACUUAAAUAUUUUUGAAACCAAAUAUAAAGUUGAAUUUAGUGAUUUUCUGAAUUAAAAUAAAAUGCCCAAAGUAGUUUGAAUAUAAGUUUCACCCCUGAUAUCUUGUUUUGUACAUUUAUCAGAAAAGGUGAACUUUUAUAAUGGCCAUUUUGGGUUCAUUGAUUUUGGCAAUAGUUGGAUUUCUUUUGAAUAAAGAGUGGCUAGGGUUUCGCUUUGUAUUUCACCACUUCUUUUGAGUUUAUUUCCAUUUCUGGAAUGCAAUGAAAGAAGACAUGAGCAAAAGUUGCUAAACCCUAUGUAGGGAAUUCCAGGGAUGUGACAUAAUAUAACAUAUACACCCUCUUUACACUAUUAAAAGACGUUUUGUGCAUAGCUAAUAAUAUAUCACACACUUGACUAUUUAAGCAAAAAACAUGAGCUGCGCCUUCAGACUUGGUGCUACUACAAGUGUUGAUUUUUGAAUUUGUACCUAAGCACAAGUUCAGUUCAUAUACAAAAAUAUAUUAUGUAUGUUUAUGCAUGACCAUGCAGAACUGAAGUGAAUAAUGUGGACGGUGACAUAUACCGAUUGACAUGGAAUAAUAUACUAUGCUGGUAGAUUUUCAAUCACGUGUCUAGAGGAGAAUUCACAGUUGUGUAAUUGCACAUGGUCAGCAAUGCUUUACCUCCACUAAGAAUGCAUAUUGCACACUUAACUAUUUUUAGCUAAACAUGAGGCACACCUUCAGACCUGCUACUACAAGAGUUGAGUCUGAAUUUCUUUUGUACCACAACAUAGGAUGAGCAGAGAGAGAGAGAGAUGACAGACCCAAGCUGCUGCUGAUUUGAUGGACAUGGACGAUGGUUGCACCAUAGAUUUUCUUUUUAAGAAAGCGUUCCUCUUUUCUCUGGUCAAAUCCUAGUCACCAUAGAAAAAUGAACAGGCCCAAAUCUAUUCAACAUGCUGUAAAGCAAUCUACUCUAAAAUCAGAGAGCAUGCAACAUAAAAAAAAGAUUAAACAAGAAACAUUUAGAUCUCCAUAGGCAUGAAGAUCGCCCCACCUCCCUUGCCUGUUUCUUGUCUUUCUCGUCCGUCUACACCUUCUCCUCCUUCCUCAUCCCCUUCUACUCAUUUUCUCUGGUCACGGAAUGGACCAAACUAAUGCCCCUAAAAACAAACCAUUCAGAUCAGAAAUUGUACAAGGGAUAAAUGAAAUUUUCUUCCCAAAUCAAGCGACGUAGAAGACCACCAGUGGCGGAGACGAGGCCGUGCCCCAAACCCUAACCACGGAUGGAUUGGGGGCGAGCGUUGGAGGCGUGGAGGGACGGGUCUGCUCGGAUGGAUCAACGCAGCACGACGAGGUGACCUCGGCAGCGUCCUGCACGCCGGCCAUGGCUGCCGGAGCUCGCCAAAGGCACGCAGGUGGCGGAGACGUGGUCGCACCCCAAACCCUAACCGCGUGGGGUGGAUUGGGCACGAGUAUUGUAGGCAGGGAUGGACGGAUCUGGGCGGAGGGAUCAACGCAACAUGGCUACAUGAGCUCGGCAACGUCCCGCGCGCCGGCCAUGGCUGCCGGAGCUCACCGACAAAGUCGUUGUCGUCGGCGGCUAACCCUAGGUCGCGUGAGGGGGCAGAGGAGAUGUGGCUGCGGGGAGAGUGUCUUCGACGCGGCCGGGUGGAAGUUUUCCUUUUGUUUAUUUACUUCCUUUUUUAUUCUCGUGGGAGAGCGUGGAGGCUUUCUUUAAUUGUUC
This 3770-nucleotide long non-coding RNA is filed under the name Hordeum vulgare. RNAcentral describes it as "long non-coding RNA (HVUL_LNC016119)". Lineage: Eukaryota; Viridiplantae; Streptophyta; Magnoliopsida; Poales; Poaceae. The record is from RNAcentral.